This 292-nucleotide ribosomal RNA is filed under the name uncultured bacterium. RNAcentral's name for it is "partial 16S ribosomal RNA". It matches the Rfam family "Bacterial small subunit ribosomal RNA", at positions 505 to 796 of the family's 1533-position model. The record is from RNAcentral.
GUGCCAGCCGCCGCGGUAAUACGUAGGGCGCAAGCGUUGUCCGGAUUUAUUGGGCGUAAAGAGCUCGUAGGCGGUUUGUCGCGUCUUCCGUGAAAACUGGGGGCUUAACUUCCAGCUUGCGGUGGAUACGGGCUGACUGGAGUGCGGCAGGGGAGACUGGAAUUCCUGGUGUAGCGGUGAAAUGCGCAGAUAUCAGGAGGAACACCGGUGGCGAAGGCGGGUCUCUGGGCCGUUACUGACGCUGAGGAGCGAAAGCGUGGGGAGCGAACAGGAUUAGAUACCCUCGUAGUCC